Leopardus geoffroyi (Geoffroy's cat) is the source of this 482-nucleotide long non-coding RNA. RefSeq lists it as uncharacterized. NCBI's taxonomy places the organism in Eukaryota, Metazoa, Chordata, Mammalia, Carnivora, Felidae. The transcript is spliced from 2 exons. The record is from RefSeq and is a predicted model, not a curated record.
UUUUUUUUUUUUUUUUUUUUUUCCGUGUUGCUUCGUCCCCUGGGCUCUUGGAGGUGCUGUCGCCGUUCCUCUCACCGCUGCAGCCAUGAUCUCCUUAACGGACACCCAGAGGUCUCGCCGCUCUCACCCCAGUGAGAUGGACGCUUUGUUCCUGCAGAUGGCCACAAGAGAAGGUUUGAUGCUCGGUACCCGCGGUUCAUCCUUGGAGACGUUUCUGCAAACUUGGACUCCUCUACAAGUUACAGGCCCGUUGUUUGGGAGGCGGUAUUUUAAAUGUCACCAGUUAUCGAGUUUUGGCUUUCUUUCUUUCUUCUUCUUUUUUUUUUUUUUUUUUUUUUUCUCUUAAUAUGCUUAUACUUUAAUAUUUUUACUAUUUCGCCAUUUGCCACCUCUGGAAAGAAACUUCGAAAAAUUUCUUUAAACGAUUUCACUUUUCUACCACCUAAUGUUUCCACAGUAGUAAAAAGCCACAUUGUGUUCAG